RNAcentral lists this ribosomal RNA (2124 nucleotides) under Escherichia coli. RNAcentral's name for it is "partial 23S ribosomal RNA". It matches the Rfam family "Bacterial large subunit ribosomal RNA", at positions 837 to 2925 of the family's 2925-position model. Lineage: Bacteria; Pseudomonadati; Pseudomonadota; Gammaproteobacteria; Enterobacterales; Enterobacteriaceae. The record is from RNAcentral.
ACCGGGAGAUAGCUGGUUCUCCCCGAAAGCUAUUUAGGUAGCGCCUCGUGAAUUCAUCUCCGGGGGUAGAGCACUGUUUCGGCAAGGGGGUCAUCCCGACUUACCAACCCGAUGCAAACUGCGAAUACCGGAGAAUGUUAUCACGGGAGACACACGGCGGGUGCUAACGUCCGUCGUGAAGAGGGAAACAACCCAGACCGCCAGCUAAGGUCCCAAAGUCAUGGUUAAGUGGGAAACGAUGUGGGAAGGCCCAGACAGCCAGGAUGUUGGCUUAGAAGCAGCCAUCAUUUAAAGAAAGCGUAAUAGCUCACUGGUCGAGUCGGCCUGCGCGGAAGAUGUAACGGGGCUAAACCAUGCACCGAAGCUGCGGCAGCGACACUAUGUGUUGUUGGGUAGGGGAGCGUUCUGUAAGCCUGUGAAGGUGGCCUGUGAGGGUUGCUGGAGGUAUCAGAAGUGCGAAUGCUGACAUAAGUAACGAUAAAGCGGGUGAAAAGCCCGCUCGCCGGAAGACCAAGGGUUCCUGUCCAACGUUAAUCGGGGCAGGGUGAGUCGACCCCUAAGGCGAGGCCGAAAGGCGUAGUCGAUGGGAAACAGGUUAAUAUUCCUGUACUUGGUGUUACUGCGAAGGGGGGACGGAGAAGGCUAUGUUGGCCGGGCGACGGUUGUCCCGGUUUAAGCGUGUAGGCUGGUUUUCCAGGCAAAUCCGGAAAACCAAGGCUGAGGCGUGAUGACGAGGCACUACGGUGCUGAAGCGACAAAUGCCCUGCUUCCAGGAAAAGCCUCUAAGCAUCAGGUAACAUCAAAUCGUACCCCAAACCGACACAGGUGGUCAGGUAGAGAAUACCAAGGCGCUUGAGAGAACUCGGGUGAAGGAACUAGGCAAAAUGGUGCCGUAACUUCGGGAGAAGGCACGCUGAUAUGUAGGUGAAGCGACUUGCUCGUGGAGCUGAAAUCAGUCGAAGAUACCAGCUGGCUGCAACUGUUUAUUAAAAACACAGCACUGUGCAAACACGAAAGUGGACGUAUACGGUGUGACGCCUGCCCGGUGCCGGAAGGUUAAUUGAUGGGGUUAGCGGCAACGCGAAGCUCUUGAUCGAAGCCCCGGUAAACGGCGGCCGUAACUAUAACGGUCCUAAGGUAGCGAAAUUCCUUGUCGGGUAAGUUCCGACCUGCACGAAUGGCGUAAUGAUGGCCAGGCUGUCUCCACCCGAGACUCAGUGAAAUUGAACUCGCUGUGAAGAUGCAGUGUACCCGCGGCAAGACGGAAAGACCCCGUGAACCUUUACUAUAGCUUGACACUGAACAUUGAGCCUUGAUGUGUAGGAUAGGUGGGAGGCUUUGAAGUGUGGACGCCAGUCUGCAUGGAGCCGACCUUGAAAUACCACCCUUUAAUGUUUGAUGUUCUAACGUUGGCCCGUAAUCCGGGUUGCGGACAGUGUCUGGUGGGUAGUUUGACUGGGGCGGUCUCCUCCUAAAGAGUAACGGAGGAGCACGAAGGUUGGCUAAUCCUGGUCGGACAUCAGGAGGUUAGUGCAAUGGCAUAAGCCAGCUUGACUGCGAGCGUGACGGCGCGAGCAGGUGCGAAAGCAGGUCAUAGUGAUCCGGUGGUUCUGAAUGGAAGGGCCAUCGCUCAACGGAUAAAAGGUACUCCGGGGAUAACAGGCUGAUACCGCCCAAGAGUUCAUAUCGACGGCGGUGUUUGGCACCUCGAUGUCGGCUCAUCACAUCCUGGGGCUGAAGUAGGUCCCAAGGGUAUGGCUGUUCGCCAUUUAAAGUGGUACGCGAGCUGGGUUUAGAACGUCGUGAGACAGUUCGGUCCCUAUCUGCCGUGGGCGCUGGAGAACUGAGGGGGGCUGCUCCUAGUACGAGAGGACCGGAGUGGACGCAUCACUGGUGUUCGGGUUGUCAUGCCAAUGGCACUGCCCGGUAGCUAAAUGCGGAAGAGAUAAGUGCUGAAAGCAUCUAAGCACGAAACUUGCCCCGAGAUGAGUUCUCCCUGAGACUUAGAGUCUCCUGAAGGAACGUUGAAGACGACGACGUUGAUAGGCCGGGUGUGUAAGCGCAGCGAUGCGUUGAGCUAACCGGUACUAAUGAACCGUGAGGCUUAACCUUACAACGCCGAAG